GAUGAAGAACGCAGCGAAAUGCGAUACGUAAUGUGAAUUGCAGAAUUCAGUGAAUCAUCGAGUCUUUGAACGCACAUUGCGCCCCCUGGUAUUCAGGGGGGCAUGCCUGUCCGAGCGUCAUUGCUGCACUCAAGCACGGCUUGUGUGUUGGGCCUCCGUCCUCCUCCCGGGGGACGGGCCCGAAAGGCAGCGGCGGCACCGCGUCCGGUCCUCGAGCGUAUGGGGCUUCGUCACCCGCUCUUGUAGGCCCGGCCGGCGCUUGCCGACACAUCAAUCUUUUUUCCAGGUUGACCUCGGAUCAGGUAGGGAUACCCGCUGAACUUAAGCAUAUCAAUAAGCGGAGGA
Molecule: unclassified non-coding RNA, 345 nt
Filed under: soil metagenome
Description: partial contains 5.8S ribosomal RNA, internal transcribed spacer 2, and large subunit ribosomal RNA
Rfam family: 5.8S ribosomal RNA (bases 1-120)
Source: RNAcentral